CUCCGUGUUCCUUGACUCUGGGCAACUUAAAAGCCCCAAUACUUUUACUUUCGCCACACAAAGAGGUUCUUCUUACUGGAGGGAGAGCAGAUGUAGGGCAUCCUACCGAGAAUUUCCGGAACCACAUGCGAGAUGAUGCCAGUCAUGAACGUCUCCGCGCCUCCUUUCGCUUUGGAAAUAUCCUUAAGUAGAAAUUUUCUGAGCUUUGCCUAAAACUAGAAUCUGUGUUGAGGUUUUUCAAAAUUAAGUAACGCCAGAGACAUACUGUGACGUGAGGAAACGCUCUUAAAUGAAAUUUUAAGAUCUAUUUGAGAAACAUGUACUAAAAAUGUACUGACCUCCUAUUAAUGCCAGGCACUAUGCUGAAUUCUGGGCCUUCACAUUGUCCUUCCAUCAUUAGAACUGAAGCCCAGAUUAUUUUAAACAAAAAAUAAACUUCAAUAAUUUAUUACAAUUUGCAAAGGAACAAAAUUUUACUUCACAAUUGUACAUUUCGUUUUCGUAAUUUUUAGGACAAAAUAGCUUAAUUGACUCUUCUGUCAUACAAAUAAUCAGCUGAAGGAAAUGGCAUUUAAGAGCAUCGAACAAUAAUAAAUAUUUGAUUAAAUAAAAACCGUGAGAAGAGAGUAGGGAGAAGGUCCUAUGUCGCUCAUUGAUGCACUUAACAAACAUUUGUCAACUCCUAGGAGUUGCAUUCUGUACAAAAUGCACAACAAUUCUUACUAAAGUUCAUAAUAUAGUAAUUCAUUUGAGCUGAAUUACCUUCCAGUCCUAAAGACACAGCCAAAACUAUUCGAAAAGUGGGGGGAAGGUGUUUUGUUUUGUACUUUAACAAAAAGGGGAAGAGAAACAAAUUUAAAAGAGGGGAAGAGUCAUUGUUCAUUUAUUAAAAUAAGCAUUCCUACACCUUUUAGAAAGUAAAGCAGUCAUGUGCAUGCUGUUAAUUCAGAUUUAUGCAUUUAUUUAUUUAUUUUGAAACGGAGUCUCAUUCUGUCGCCCAGGUGCGGCCAAUUUUUGUAUUUUUAGUAGAGAUGGGAUUUCACCUUAUUGGCCAGGCUGGUCUCGAACUUGUGACCUCAAGUGAUCCUCCUGCCUCGGCCUCCCAAAGUGCUGGGAUUAGAGGCGUGUGCCACCGCGCCCGGCUAUUAUUUGAUUUUUAUUAGUUAUCUCAAACUCUUAUUUGGUCCUGAAAUCGUUAUUUUAUUUUAAGGAUGCUAUGAAUCUUAAAAUUCUUUUUCUUGGCUACUAGAAACUUAGAACCAAGUGUGCAGCCUGCCUUUAGCAAAUGUACAGGCAUCACUAAUUCAUUUAUUUAUUCUUAUAUUUAACACCUAUUAUGAUACAUAUUAUGAGGUGCUACAGAUUUAGUAGUAAAAUAAAUGCAGUCCUAGCAUGAGUGGAGAAGUUCAUCUUGUACCAUUUAAGAGAGACAUUAAAUGAAUAACCUCAAAUGUGAUAGUAGGAUGAAAUUGAGUGGGGUCACCAAGUCUUAGGUGAUAGGAAGGUCUCUUUAAUUACUGACUUUUCAGGCCGGAGGCAGUGGCUUGUGCCUGUAAUCCCAGCACUUUGUGGGGCUGAGGCCAGGCGGAUGGAACACCUGGGGUCAGGAGUUCCAGACCAGCCUGGCCAAUAUGGCAGAACUCUGUCUCUACUAAACAACAACAACAAAAAAUUAGCUGGGCAUGGCGGGGCACACCUGUGAUCCUAGCUAAUCGGGAGGUUAAGGCAGGAGAAUAGCUUGAACCCGGGAGGUGAAGGUUACGGUGAGCUGAGAUCGGGCCACUGCACUCCUGCCUGGGUGACACAGCAAGACUCCAUCUCAAAAAAAAAAAAAAAAAAAAAGGAAAAUGGAAAAAAAAAAGGAAAAGAAACCAACUUUUCAGUUGAAAGUUCAAAGCUGAGUGUUCAGAGGAGCCUUCAAGGCUACAGGAAUCCUUAAUUUUUUUGCAGGUAUCUGAGUUGAAAGAACCAGGCCUAUUUAAGGAGGUGGAAAAAAUCCAAAAAAGCUUUGAUUCAGAAUGGGGAUGACAGUGUAUGGCAAGAAUUAUGCAGAUUAACUUUAGCUUCAUACCUUUCUACUUACCUGUUUAAAUCUUGAUUUUAAAUUCUUCCUUGAGCAUAGUAAUGUAUAAACUCCUACAUAUUUCAGAUUAGUCUAUUUUCAUUAAAUAAAAUGUCUAUGAAGUUUCCCCCUCUAAAGAAAGAAAAGCCUAGCAUUUCAACCUAUAUUCUUGAGGCAGGAUGGGGAGGGAUACAAAAACUUAAUUAUAAUACAAAGCAGAUUUUAUAUAUUUUGAAAAUUUUAAGAAUUUUUCUAUGAGAGACUAGAUAUAAACUGACAGGAGAGUUCUGGGAAGACUACAGAGGACUGAUACUUGAUUUAGGCCUCAAAGUGUUUGAACAAUCAUGGGACAGAAGAAAAUCCAAGUGAGAGAAAUAAUAUAAGGUAUUACAAGUGGAUAAAUAAUGUGCACUGCUCUGAGCCCAAAGGUACGCAGUGGACCUGGCCUCUCUGAUAUGCAUCAGUAUAGCCAAUGGCUAGCCAGCAGACAUGAAGCUAAUUUGCUACCAAUGAAAGAAGAUCUGGCCUUGUGGUUAACCAAUCUAUUAGGGAAGGAGAUUACAGCAGAAACUUUUAUGGAGAAGUUGGACAAUGGUGCCUUGCUCUGUCAACUUGCAGAAACUAUGCAGGAGAAAUUCAAGGAGAGCAUGGAUGCUAACAAGCCCACAAAGAAUCUACCGUUGAAGAAGAUCCCAUGCAAAACCAGUGCACCCUCGGGCUCCUUUUUUGCCAGAGACAAUACAGCAAAUUUCUUAUCCUGGUGCCGAGAUUUAGGGGUGGAUGAAACAUGUCUAUUUGAAUCGGAAGGUUUGGUCCUCCACAAGCAACCCAGAGAAGUGUGUCUCUGUCUGCUAGAGCUUGGCCGGAUUGCAGCCAGGUAUGGUGUGGAGCCUCCUGGUUUGAUAAAGCUGGAAAAAGAGAUUGAACAAGAAGAAACACUUUCUGCCCCUUCUCCUUCACCUUCUCCUUCAUCAAAGUCUUCUGGAAAAAAGAGUACAGGAAACUUACUGGAUGAUGCAGUGAAACGAAUUUCUGAAGAUCCUCCUUGCAAAUGCCCAAACAAGUUCUGUGUGGAGCGGCUCUCCCAAGGAAGAUACCGAGUGGGAGAAAAGAUCCUCUUCAUUAGGAGUUCCACUCUUUUUGUCGACAAUAAUAUGGCGCCCAAACACGUGGGGCCUCAGAGAAGACUCUGGAUCCGGAAGGAGUAUACCAAAACCAGAGCUAAGGUACCAGCUGGAGCCCACUGAAGCCUCACCGAGUUUGGACUUCUCCUCCUGUGGAACUGGAAACCAAAAUCAUGGUAUUUUGAAAACCAGAGGUAUGAAUCUCCCUCGUUUGGCAUCCCACUGGGCCUGGACCUGUUUCACUGCUAAUGUUCUGCUGCCAAAACUAUACAAGCUGCCUGGACUAUUGCAGAAGAGCUGAAGAAGUCCACAACCUGGAAACACCAAGACAACCAGACAAAAAAAGCCCUGAAACAAAAGUUUGCUGUUUCUAGCCAAAGAAUCAAGAAAGGAGCAGCCUAGCAUGAAAUAAACUUGUAAGCAAUGGAAAAGAAAAUUACCAAAAACAGAGAAGGAUAUUACAUGAUUAAUAAAAGUGUCAAUCCAACAAAGAGAGAACAUUCCUAAACGUGCAUGCGCCAAACAAUGAUGCUGCAAAAAAAUGAGAAUCAAAAACUGACAGAAGUGAAAGAAGAAGUCAACAAAUCAGCAAUUAUAGUUUGAUACUUCAACAACCUUCUCACAACAAUGGAUAGAAAAGCUAGAUAAAAAAUCAACAAGCAUACAGAAUUCCACAAUGCUAUUAACCAACAAGAAACAAGAUCUGAAAACUUUUUUAGAGUACUACACCCCAGAACAGCAGAAUACAUAUCAUUUCAGGUACUAACAGACCAUAUACCAAGAUAGAGUACAACUUGGGUCAUAAAGCUAAUUAACCUCAACAAAUGUAAAAUAAUUAAAAACAUACAAAGUGUGUUCUUUGAUCACAAUAAAAUCAAACUAGAAACUUUUAACAGAAAGUGACUUUAACCAUUCUGCCUGCUAUAACAAAAUACUAUAAACAGAGUAAUCUGUAAACAACAGAUAUUUAUUUAUCACGGUUUGAGCUGGAAAGUCCAAGGUCAAGGCUUCAGUAGAUUUGGUGUCUGGAGAAGAUCGAUUUCUUGGCCCGUAGAUAGUGCUUUCUUGUUGUGUCUCCACAUAGUGGAAGCGUAAGAGGUCUUUCCAAGGCUUCUCUUAUAAGAGUACUAAUCAGAUUCAUAAUGGCUCUACCUUCAUGACCUAAUUGCCUUCCAAAACCCCCCCACCUAAUUCCAUCACCUUGGAAGUUAGGAUUUCAACAUAUGAAUGGUGGGGAGGGGGUUAUGAUAAUUCAGUCCAUUGCAAAAAUAUAAAAGAAAAAUCUCUAGACACUUGAAAACUAGGCAACACAUGUGUGUAAAUAACCUAUAGAUCAAAGAGAAAGUCUCAGGGAAAAAGAUAAUGCAUUGCACUGAAUGAAAGUGAAAAUACAACACAUUAACAUUUAUGAAAAAUAGCUAAAGCGAUGCUGAGAAGAAAAUUUAUAGCACCAAAUGCAUACAUUAGAAAAGAAGAAAAGUCUCAAAUUCAUCAUCUAAACUCUCACCUAAAGAAAUUAAAAAAAAAAAAUCAGGACAACAUAAGCCCAAAGCAAGCAGAUAAAAAUAAAAUAAAAAAGAGCAAAGAUCAGUUAAAUUGAAAAUAUAAAACGUAGAGGAAAUCAGUAAAACAAAGUGUAGUUUACUCAAAAAGAUAAAAUUGAUAAACUUUUAACAACACUGGCAAAAAAUAAAGACACAGAUUACAAAUAUAAUACAUGAAAUAGGGCAUAUUACUAUAGAUCCUUCAGACAAAGGAUGAUGGGGAAUAAGAUGAACAACUUAUAUAAAAAUUGACAAUUAGGAUAGAGUGGACUGCUAGUUACUUGAGAAACAUAAGCUACCAAAACUUAUCCAAUAUGAAAUAGAUAAAUUGAAUAGUUCUACAACUGUGAAUAAAAUUGAAUUCAUAAACUAAAAUAGUUCUACAACUGUGAAUAAAAUUGAAUUCAUAAACUUCAGACAAUUAAAGGAUGCUGGGGAAUAAGAUGAACAACUUAUAUAAAAAUUGACAAGAUAGAGUGGACUGCUAGUUACUUGAGAAACAUAAACUAGCAAAACUCAUCCAAUAUGAAAUAGAUAAAUUGAAUAAUUCUACAACUGUGAAUAAAAUUGAAUUCAUAAACUAAAAAUUACCAAAAAAAUCUCCAGGACCCUAUAAUUUUGCUGGAAAAUCUAGCAAAUGUUUAAGGAAGGAUUGGCACUAAAACUGCACAAUCUCUCCUAGAGAAUAGAAAAGGAAGGAAUGCUUCCUAAUUUAUUUUAUAAAGUUAGUAUUACCCUUAUAUUAAAACCAGACACAGACAGCACAUAAAAGAAAACUAGACCAAUGUACCUCAAGAAUACAUAUUAAAAAAUGGUUAACAUUAUAUUAGCAUACAAUGCAGCAAUAUGUAUAACUAUACACUAUGACAAUGUGUGUAAUGACAAAGUAUGAUUCAUCAUGGGAGGCAAACCUAGUUCAAUAUUCAAAAAUCAAUGUACUUUAUUAAGAGGCUAUGGAUGAAAAUUACAUGAUCAUACCAAUCAAUGCAAAAAAGUUGGACAAAGUCAAUACUCUAAGAAAUAUAGAAAUAGAGGUGAACUUUCUUAACACAAAAUAGUUACAGCUACCAUUAUAGUUAAUGGGAAAAGUGUAAAUACUUUUCCUUUCAGAAUAGAAACAAGGCAAGGAUGUGUACUCUCAUCACUGGUAUUCAACAUAAUGCUAGGAGUUCUAGCCAGUGCAAUAAAACAAGCAAAGGAAAUUCAAAAAAUACAUAUGGAAAAGGAGUAAAUAAAACUGACCUGUAAGGCAUCUAAAAAACAAAAACUUCUAGAAAUAAUAAGUGAAUUCAGCAAGUUUAUAGGAUACAGAUAAACAUACAAAAAUCAGUUCUAUUUUUAUAUUCUGGCAAUGAACACCUGCAAUUAAAAAUAUAAUACUAUCUACAAAAAUAAAAUUAUAGUUGUAAAUCUAACAAAAUAUG
Gorilla gorilla gorilla (western lowland gorilla) is the source of this 6154-nucleotide RNA transcript. It is a transcript of the gene named growth arrest specific 2, with no coding region annotated. The transcript has 10 exons. Lineage: Eukaryota; Metazoa; Chordata; Mammalia; Primates; Hominidae. The record is from RefSeq and is a predicted model, not a curated record.